GAUGAACGCUGGCGGCGUGCCUAAUACAUGCAAGUCGAGCGGUAAGGCCCUUCGGGGUACACGAGCGGCGGACGGCUGAGUAACACGUAGGAACGUACCCCAAAGUGAGGGAUAAGCACCAGAAAUGGUGUCUAAUACCGCAUGUGCCCCAUGGAGUCAAGCUUUAUGCGCUUUGGGAACGGCCUGCGUCCGAUUAGCUAGUUGGCGGUUUAAUAGACCACCAAGGCAACGAUCGGUAGCUGGUCUGAGAGGAUGAUCAGCCAGACUGGGACUGAGACACGGCCCAGACUCCUACGGGAGGCAGCAGUAGGGAAUUUUCCACAAUGGGCGAAAGCCUGAUGGAGCAACGCCGCGUGCAGGAUGAAUGCCUUCGGGUUGUAAACUGCUUUUAUUGGUGACGAUUAUGACGGUAACCAAUGAAUAAGGACCUGCUAACUACGUGCCAGCCGCCGCCGUAA
RNAcentral lists this ribosomal RNA (458 nucleotides) under uncultured bacterium. Its description in RNAcentral is "partial 16S ribosomal RNA". It matches the Rfam family "Bacterial small subunit ribosomal RNA", at positions 28 to 523 of the family's 1533-position model. The record is from RNAcentral.